RNAcentral lists this transfer RNA (74 nucleotides) under Tenacibaculum finnmarkense. RNAcentral's name for it is "tRNA-Thr". It matches the Rfam family "tRNA". From Rfam's summary of the family: Transfer RNA (tRNA) molecules are approximately 80 nucleotides in length. Their secondary structure includes four short double-helical elements and three loops (D, anti-codon, and T loops). The record is from RNAcentral. Lineage: Bacteria; Pseudomonadati; Bacteroidota; Flavobacteriia; Flavobacteriales; Flavobacteriaceae.
GCCGAUGUAGCUCAGUCGGCUAGAGCAGCUGAUUUGUAAUCAGCAGGUCGUGGGUUCGAGUCCCUCCAUCGGCU